This 486-nucleotide ribosomal RNA is filed under the name uncultured bacterium. Its description in RNAcentral is "partial 16S ribosomal RNA". It matches the Rfam family "Bacterial small subunit ribosomal RNA", at positions 28 to 507 of the family's 1533-position model. The record is from RNAcentral.
GACGAACGCUGGCGGCGUGCUUAACACAUGCAAGUCGAACGCUGAAGACCUGGCUUUUGUUGGGUUGGAUGAGUGGCGAACGGGUGAGUAACACGUGAGUAACCUGCCCUCUUCUUUGGGAUAACGCCCGGAAACGGGUGCUAAUACUGGAUAUUCACUGAUCUUCGCAUGGGGGUUGGUGGAAAGGUUUGUUCUGGUGGGGGAUGGGCUCGCGGCCUAUUAGCUUGUUGGUGGGGUGAUGGCCUACCAAGGCUUUGACGGGUAGCCGUCCUGGGAGGGUGACCGGUCACAUUGGGACUGAGAUACGGCCCAGACUCCGACGGGAGGCAGCAGUGGGGAAUAUUGCACAAUGGGCGAAAGCCUGAUGCAGCGACGCCGCGUGAGGGAUGGAGGCCUUCGGGUUGUAAACCUCUUUCGCUCAUGGUCAAGCCGCAACUGUGGGUUGUGGUGAGGGUAGUGGGUAAAGAAGCGCCGGCUAACUACGUG